Molecule: long non-coding RNA, 1008 nt
Filed under: Triticum aestivum (bread wheat)
Lineage: Eukaryota; Viridiplantae; Streptophyta; Magnoliopsida; Poales; Poaceae
Description: long non-coding RNA (TAES_LNC012371)
Source: RNAcentral
UGGGAAGAAAAUUAUUUCGACAAGAUUCACUCUACCGUGCUUAUCGCGGUCCUCUAGAUUACAUGGAAGCGCGUGAACUCCAAACUCUUCUGCGACAUUUUUGAGGAAUUGCACAUUACUGCUAGCAAGAUUGUUGAUGAUCUUAUGUUGUGGUCUAACAGGUAUUCAAACGAAAUUAAUAAAGUGCUCCUUAGAAAUUAGAGCACUAUGUUGUAUCACCUAUCCGUGAGAUUGUAAUUUUGUCCCUCCUUCUCUUUUCUAUUAGUCCCACUGUCUCAUUUGCCUUUGUAUAGUUCUCAGUUUUAUGAAGUGGUUCAGGCCGGCAUAGUCCCUCUAAAGAAAAUAAGGCGGCGAGUGACGCCUCGCCUUCUCUGAAGUCUGGACUGAAAAUUAUGUGGUUCUCUACUACUCGAAGAAAGGUAAAUAGUCUUUUAUGUGAUUCAUUUUUUCCAUUUGAAUAAACAGUGUGGACAUUUCCCCACAAAUGAGAUUCGUCCACCCCCCUUCUUGCCUUGUUCCAAUCUUCAGUCCAACUGUAAUAACAGAAACAAACCUUCUCCUCCUUUUGUAGAUGAAGAAGAAAUGGCUGGCUUACCAAUCGCCUAAGCACCAAGAGCUUUGGCGCCCAACUAUUGAAGAAGGCUCGGGCUGAUGGAGCUGUCCCAAACAAGGUAUAAACCUGACACCUUUCUGCUCCUGGAGUCCUUGCAUGCCUUCAAAGCAUGUAAUCUUGAUGAUUGCAAUUUUUAGAUGGUUUGAUGGUUGAUUCUCAUUCCUUUGGUGGUUGCAGAAUGUCAUGGCGCAGGUGUUGCCAUUGUCCCUAUCAACCUUCACCGGUGGUUACACAUACACGCACCCACGAACUAUUAGGUCAGGGGAGAAAACAGAGCAGCGGUCUUCAGUUAGAACAGAGGAGCACACGCAGUCAGGUUUCAGGAACCAAUGCCUUCAUAAUUUUUCUUUUUCAACUGAUUGCUGGCUAAACAUGCACAACCCUCUUAUUGCAAG